Molecule: ribosomal RNA, 110 nt
Filed under: uncultured bacterium
Lineage: Bacteria
Description: partial 16S ribosomal RNA
Rfam family: Bacterial small subunit ribosomal RNA
Source: RNAcentral
CCCGGGCCUUGUACACACCGCCCGUCACACCAUGGGAGUUAGUUUUACCCGAAGACGGUGCGCUAACCGCAAGGAGGCAGCCGGCCACGGUAGGGUCAGCGACUGGGGUG